RNAcentral lists this ribosomal RNA (303 nucleotides) under unidentified. RNAcentral describes it as "Stasimopus maraisi partial large subunit ribosomal RNA". The record is from RNAcentral.
CUGUUAUCCCCACGGUAACUUGUUAGAUGUCCUUUUUGAAGGGUUGAUUUUUAAAAAAAUUUAAAAAGAUUUUGUUUUUGGACCGCCCCAGUUAAAACUUAUUUGAAGUUCGGUGGGGUCUUGUCGUCUUCUCUAUAGAUUUAAGCCUUUUUACUUAAAUGGAAAUUUGGAGGAAUCAAAAUAAUAAAGGGUUCAACUCGUUAAUCCUUUCAUUCGAGCCUAAAAUUAAAAGGCAAAUGAUUACGCUACCUUAGCACAAAAUUGCGGCUAUUUAAAAUUCAUUGAGCAGGAUGAUACUAAUUA